CGCCAUUUAAAGUGGUACGCGAGCUGGGUUUAGAACGUCGUGAGACAGUUCGGUCCCUAUCUGCCGUGGGCGUUGGAAGAUUGAAGGGGGCUGCUCCUAGUACGAGAGGACCGGAGUGGACGAACCUCUGGUGUUCGGGUUGUGUCGCCAGACGCAUUGCCCGGUAGCUAAGUUCGGAAUUGAUAAGCGCUGAAAGCAUCUAAGCGCGAAGCGAGCCCUGAGAUGAGUCUUCCCUGACAGUUUAACUGUCCUAAAGGGUUGUUCGAGACUAGAACGUUGAUAGGCAGGGUGUGUAAGCGUUGUGAGGCGUUGAGCUAACCUGUACUAAUUGCCCGUGAGGCUUAACCAUACAACACCCAAGGGGUUUUGUA
RNAcentral lists this ribosomal RNA (371 nucleotides) under Vibrio cholerae. Its description in RNAcentral is "bacterial LSU rRNA". It matches the Rfam family "Bacterial large subunit ribosomal RNA", at positions 2582 to 2925 of the family's 2925-position model. Lineage: Bacteria; Pseudomonadati; Pseudomonadota; Gammaproteobacteria; Vibrionales; Vibrionaceae. The record is from RNAcentral.